RNAcentral lists this ribosomal RNA (450 nucleotides) under uncultured bacterium. Its description in RNAcentral is "partial 16S ribosomal RNA". It matches the Rfam family "Bacterial small subunit ribosomal RNA", at positions 338 to 795 of the family's 1533-position model. The record is from RNAcentral.
CCUACGGGGGGCUGCAGUAAGGAAUAUUGGUCAAUGGACGAAAGUCUGAACCAGCCAUGCCGCGUGGAGGAUGAAGGUCCUCUGGAUUGUAAACUUCUUUUAUAUGGGACGAAAAAAGGCCUUUCCAGGUCGUCUGCCGGUACCAUAUGAAUAAGCACCGGCUAACUCCGUGCCAGCAGCCGCGGUAAUACGGAGGGUGCCAGCGUUAUCCGGUUUCACUGGGUCGAAAGGGUGUGUGGGUGUCUUGGUAGAAAUCCCCGGGCUUAACUUGGGAACUGCCAUUGAUACUAUCAGUCUUGAAUACCGUGGAGGUCAGCGGAAUAUGUCAUGUAGCGGUGAAAUGCUUAGAUAUGACAUAGAACACCAAUUGCGAAGGCAGCUGGCUAGACGAGUAUUGACACUGAGGCACGAAAGCGUGGGGAUCAAACAGGAUUAGAUACCCUAGUAGUC